Molecule: transfer RNA, 75 nt
Filed under: Candidatus Iainarchaeum sp.
Lineage: Archaea; Nanobdellati; Candidatus Iainarchaeota; Candidatus Iainarchaeia; Candidatus Iainarchaeales; Candidatus Iainarchaeaceae
Description: tRNA-Arg
Rfam family: tRNA
About the family: Transfer RNA (tRNA) molecules are approximately 80 nucleotides in length.
Source: RNAcentral
GGGCCCGUAGCUUAGUCUGGAUUGAGCAUCGGACUUCUAAUCCGAGGGUCGAGGGUUCAAAUCCCUCCGGGCCCG